UACGUAGGGGGCAAGCGUUGUCCGGAAUCAUUGGGCGUAAAGCGCGUGUAGGCGGCCCGGUAAGUCCGCUGUGAAAGUCCAGGGCUCAACCCUGGGAUGCCGGUGGAUACUGUCGGGCUCGAGUCCGGAAGAGGCGAGUGGAAUUCCUGGUGUAGCGGUGAAAUGCGCAGAUAUCGGGAGGAACACCAAUGGCGAAGGCAGCUCGCUGGGACGGUACUGACGCUGAGACGCGAAAGCGUGGGGAGCAAACAGG
RNAcentral lists this ribosomal RNA (253 nucleotides) under uncultured bacterium. Its description in RNAcentral is "partial 16S ribosomal RNA". It matches the Rfam family "Bacterial small subunit ribosomal RNA", at positions 524 to 776 of the family's 1533-position model. The record is from RNAcentral.